GGCUACAAUGUUCAUUUACCAAAUAAUUGGCCGAGUCCCUGGAGUGACGGAAUUAUACCAUUUACCUUUAAUUAUUUUUCAUUAAGUCCAAGACGUCUUAUAAGCGUUGUGAGAAAAGGCUUAGACCAUAUCCAAGAGCGGUCAUGUCUCAGGUUUAUCGAACGAGACCCGAUGGAGGUAUCAAGAAUAAUAAACUUUACGUAUCUUUUCUUUAGUUACUCAGAUGCUUUGGAAAGUUGUUGCCUUGAAUACUUCACAAUGGCUUACGGAAGAAGGCUCACACUCAUAACGCCGAGGUGUAUGAUGCCAGCAGAAGUAGCUCAUGCAACCCUGCACGCGAUGGGC
Long non-coding RNA from Leptidea sinapis, 345 nucleotides. RefSeq lists it as uncharacterized. The transcript has 3 exons. NCBI's taxonomy places the organism in Eukaryota, Metazoa, Arthropoda, Insecta, Lepidoptera, Pieridae. The record is from RefSeq and is a predicted model, not a curated record.